UAAUUUUGACCAAAGAAUCAGCAUUUCAAUGGCAAAUUUAUGUAAGGAUGGUGAUAUGGUUUGGCUGUGUCCCCACCCAGAUCUCAUCUUGAAUUCCCAUGUGUUGUGGGGGUGACCGGUGGGAGGUAAUUGAAUUGUGGUGAUGGGUCUUUCCUGUGUUGUUCUCAUAAUAGGGAAUAACUCUCAUGAGAUCUGAUGGUUUUAUAAAGGGCAGGUUCCCUGCACAAGCUCUUUUCUCCUGUCUGUUGCCAUGUGAGAAGCGCCUUUCACCUUCUGCCAUGAUUGUGAUGCCUCCCUAGCCACGUAGAACUGUGUCAGGAGAGCCACUCCUCCCAAAGGAGUGCUUGUGAGCAGAGGUGAUCAGAGGACUUUCUGAAGAGCGAGGAGUGAUUUCAGAGGGCCAAAAAGAAGAAAAGGGAGUGAGCCAGUCAUUAAGGCCCCUAAUCUCAGCUUAUUUUGACUGCUUCUCAACACAGCAUUGCAAGUGGUUGAUUUGAUGGAUGUGGCACGUGACCAGGUUCUGGCUAAUGAGAUGUCUGAAACUUAAAAUGGAAGAGAUAUAUCAUCUCCUUUUCCUUGCUCCAUCCUGCUACCUGGAAAAUGGAUGUGAUGACAAGCCCUGGAAAACCGCAAGGACGAGGACAACACUGGAGAGAUGGGGCAGCACAUGAUGAAAUCGCCCAGGGACUGACUUACUCUUUGGCUAAAUCAUCUGAACCUUCAGGUUGAAAACCAAAAUCACUGCCUCAGUGUUACACAAUGGAUUCUAUUGCUGGAGUACACAAAGGAGAAGAUGGAAAUGGGCCUGAGGGAGAGUCUGCGUGCUGGACCAGAGUCAGUGCAGAGACAUAAUCACUGAAUCAGAUGAGACGUUUUGCCAACUUUUAUCAGGGACAAAAGCCAAGGUCUCUUGCAUCUCAGCCUGGUGCAGGGAUCAUUCUCCUGAUGUUUCAUCCUCUUUAAAGAACUAUCAGAAACCAAAUCUUAAGUAGAUGUACCUGAGAUAUUUUUCCAGUUUUUCCCUUUUCUUAUUUUUUAUUUAGCUGUGUGUUUCUCCUUGUCCAUUCUCCAUUUCCUAAACUUUCUGUUGAAUAUCUUUUCUACUUAAAACUAGCCCCACGAUUCAAAAGUGACCCUUGCUGAUUUUGUGCCUUCUCUCACUUUGUGUUUUGGGGAAUGAGGCAGAUGGUGAUCAUUUCACUCUUGUUCUUGUUCAUUUCUCGAAGCCGUGCGUAUCCCUCUCUUUGGUUUGUGAAAGAAUCAGUGUUUCCUUGUCAAUAGCAUCCUACUUACUUGUCAGACCCCUGGGUUCCAUUUAGAUUCAUUCUUCACAAGGCAUUAAAGUAAGGCAGCAUUUUCAUGGAGUUACAAUGUCUUAUUGUUGAAGGUGUCGUCUAGUCCAAUCUCGCAACUAGUACAAAAGACUUACAGUUAUUUGCUAGCUGUGUGUUUGAGCAAAUUACUUAAUCCCUUUGAAUCUGAUUCACACUAAGUGUGAAUAAAUGUCUGUAGUUUACGGUUAGUAUUGCUUGGGUAGUAGUAGUAAUAACCUGCAAUGAUACCACUUGCUAGAGUAGCUGUUAAUAAAGUUUAGCCCUCCCUUGUUACCUCACAACAAGGCCUCUUUCACUUCUGAGCGGUUAAAAUAUUUUAGUCACUCUUUGGUUAAAACGAGCUAAUUCCCCAUAGUCUCCAACGAUUUGCCCCAGGCCUUCCUGUAAAGCUUGGGGAAUGAAUCUACACAGUCCACACGAUGCUGAUUCUUCCCAGCAAAGCCUUCCAUUCCUCUGACUGAACUUUGUCAGUCACUCUACCACUUUAACAUUGUCAAAUAUGAUCAAGAUUCAGAUCAAAGUCUCUUUUAUGAAGCUGGCUGCUCUGCUCUGGAUGACCCUCCAUGCCCUGUGUUCCUCUUAAGGUAUAGUACAGAGACCCAAAGCACAAAGUUCAAGGGCUGACCUGACUUUUGAUGGACAUAUCUAGUAUUAUAGGGAAAGCACCUAGUAUAUUACACCUAUAUAGCAAUAUUAUCCAUAUAUAUAAUAUUAUAUUAAACAGGAGUAAGUAUGAGCGUCAUCUCCAAAGAAGCCCAAUCCAGGGACAAGCUUUACUCAUGGUGGGGAUGCCUUUAUCCAGGCUUUCGUCUUCAAAUUUUGACUUUUGUCUCCUUGUAUUUAAUGUGGUUUUAACCACUUUGUUGUGAUUGAGAAAUGAGGACUGUUGAAUCAUCAAAGGAUUUAUGUUUGCAAGUUCAGUCAUUUACCCACUAGACAAACCUGGGCAACGAACUAGCAUUUCUCCCUUAUCUUCCUUAUUUGCAAAAUUUCUGUCCUGCCUAUCCCAAUGGAUCAAAUUCAUCCAAAAUCAAAUAAAAAUAUGAAUGAGGGAAACCAUAUAUGCUCUAUAGUAUUAAUUAUAACAAAAUUGCCCUUUCUUAUUACUUUUCAU
Long non-coding RNA from Callithrix jacchus (white-tufted-ear marmoset), 2448 nucleotides. RefSeq lists it as uncharacterized. The record is from RefSeq and is a predicted model, not a curated record. NCBI's taxonomy places the organism in Eukaryota, Metazoa, Chordata, Mammalia, Primates, Cebidae.